GCGCUCGUCGUAUAAUGGAUAAGACACAUCCCUCCGAAGGAUGAAAUGCAGGUUCGAUUCCUGCCGAGCGCA
Molecule: transfer RNA, 72 nt
Filed under: Candidatus Moraniibacteriota bacterium
Lineage: Bacteria; Candidatus Moraniibacteriota
Also listed under: 1 other name
Description: tRNA-Arg
Rfam family: tRNA
About the family: Transfer RNA (tRNA) molecules are approximately 80 nucleotides in length. Their secondary structure includes four short double-helical elements and three loops (D, anti-codon, and T loops).
Source: RNAcentral